Molecule: ribosomal RNA, 410 nt
Filed under: uncultured bacterium
Lineage: Bacteria
Description: bacterial SSU rRNA
Rfam family: Bacterial small subunit ribosomal RNA
Source: RNAcentral
GUGUCAGCCGCCGCGGUAACACGUAGGGGGCGAGCGUUGUCCGGAAUUACUGGGCGUAAAGCGCACGCAGGCGGAUGCGCGCGUCGGCUGUGAAAUGCACCGGCUCAACCGGUGCACUGCGGUCGAUACGGCGCAUCUGGAGUGCGGGAGAGGGAAGCGGAAUUCCCGGUGUAGCGGUGAAAUGCGUAGAUAUCGGGAGGAACGCCGGUGGCGAAGGCGGCUUCCUGGCCCGCAACUGACGCUCAUGUGCGAAAGCCAGGGGAGCGAACCGGAUUAGAUACCCGGGUAGUCCUGGCCGUAAACGAUGGACGCUAGGUGUGGGCGGUUUAUCCGUCUGUGCCGAAGUUAACGCGUUAAGCGUCCCGCCUGGGGAGUACGAUCGCAAGGUUGAAACUCAAAUAAAUUGACGG